Molecule: transfer RNA, 98 nt
Filed under: Streptomyces sp. ISL-14
Lineage: Bacteria; Bacillati; Actinomycetota; Actinomycetes; Kitasatosporales; Streptomycetaceae
Description: tRNA-Ser
Source: RNAcentral
GCGGUCGGGGUCCGUCACCCUCAGACGAACCCCAACACACUGCUAAUGCGGUUUGGGCCUUAAAGCCCAUCGAGGGUUCAAAUCCCUCCGCCUCCGCG